This 1469-nucleotide ribosomal RNA is filed under the name metagenome. RNAcentral's name for it is "bacterial LSU rRNA". It matches the Rfam family "Bacterial large subunit ribosomal RNA", at positions 1465 to 2925 of the family's 2925-position model. The record is from RNAcentral.
UGUGGGGACGGAGAAGGUUAACUCAGCCGGGUGUUGGAUGUCCCGGUUCAAGCCUGUAGUCGUGGUCUUCAGGAAAAUCCGGAGAUCUUAGAUGAGGGGUGAUAACGAGGCGGCUUGCCGCCGAAGUGAGUGAUACCCUGCUUCCAGGAAAAGCCACUAAGCUUCAGCUGCACACGACCGUACCGCAAACCGACACUGGUGCGCGAGAUGAGUAUUCUAAGGCGCUUGAGAGAACUCUGGAGAAGGAACUCGGCAAAUUGACACCGUAACUUCGGAAGAAGGUGUGCCUUUAGUAGGUGAUCCUGUACAAGGGGAGCCCAAUGAGGUUGCAAAAAAUCGGUGGCUGCGACUGUUUAAUAAAAACACAGCACUCUGCAAAGACGAAAGUCGACGUAUAGGGUGUGACGCCUGCCCGGUGCUGGAAGAUUAAAUGAUGGGGUGCAAGCUCUUGAUUGAAGUCCCAGUAAACGGCGGCCGUAACGAUAACGGUCCUAAGGUAGCGAAAUUCCUUGUCGGGUAAGUUCCGACCUGCACGGAUGGCGUAACGAUGGCCACACUGUCUCCUCCAGAGACUCAGCGAAGUUGAAAUGUUUGUGAUGAUGCAAUCUCCCCGCGGAAAGACGGAAAGACCCCAUGAACCUUUACUGUAGCUUUACAUUGGACUUCGAACAGAUCUGUGUAGGAUAGGUGGGAGGCUUUGAAGCCGGGACGCUAGUUCUGGUGGAGCCAACGUUGAAAUACCACCCUGGUGUGUUUGAGGUUCUAACCUUGGCCCGUAAUCCGGGUUGGGGACAGUGUAUGGUAGGCAGUUUGACUGGGGCGGUCUCCUCCCAAAGCGUAACGGAGGAGUUCGAAGGUACGCUAGGCACGGUCGGAAAUCGUGCUCAUAGUGCAUUGGCAUAAGCGUGCUUGACUGCGAGACUGACAAGUCGAGCAGGUACGAAAGUAGGACAAAGUGAUCCGGUGGUUCUGUAUGGAAGGGCCAUCGCUCAACGGAUAAAAGGUACUCUGGGAUAACAGGCUGAUACCGCCCGAGAGUUCAUAUCGACGGCGGUGUUUGGCACCUCGAUGUCGGCUCAUCUCAUCCUGGGGCUGUAGCCGGUCCCAAGGGUAUGGCUGUUCGCCAUUUAAAGAGGUACGUGAGCUGGGUUUAAAACGUCGUGAGACAGUUUGGUCCCUAUCUUCCGUGGGCGCUGCAAGAUUGAGAGAGCCUGCUCCUAGUACGAGAGGACCGGAGUGGACGCACCUCUGGUGUAUCGGUUGUCACGCCAGUGGCAUUGCCGAGUAGCUAAGUGCGGAAGAGAUAACCGCUGAAAGCAUCUAAGCGGGAAACUCGUCUCAAGAUGAGUCUUGCCGGGGCCUUGAGCCCCCUGAAGAGUCGUUCGAGACCAUGACGUUGAUAGGCUGGGUGUGGAAGCGCAGUAAUGCGUUAAGCUAACCAGUACUAAUUGCUCGUGAGGCUUGACCCU